UACGGAGGAUCCUAGUGUUAUCCGGAUUUAUUGGGUUUAAAGGGAGCGUAGGCGGGAGGUCAAGUCAGCUGUGAAAUGUAUCUGCUUAACGGGUACACUGCAGUUGAAACUGGUUUUCUUGAGUGCGUAAGAGGCAGGCGGAAUUCGUUGUGUAGCGGUGAAAUGCUUAGAUAUGACGAGGAACUCCUAUCGCGAAGGCAGCUUGCUGGGUCGUUACUGACGCUGAUGCUCGAAGGUGCGGGGAUCAAACAGGAUUAGAUA
RNAcentral lists this ribosomal RNA (261 nucleotides) under uncultured prokaryote. RNAcentral's name for it is "partial 16S ribosomal RNA". It matches the Rfam family "Bacterial small subunit ribosomal RNA", at positions 524 to 784 of the family's 1533-position model. The record is from RNAcentral.